UACAAGUUCUUCUCGUAAGGGAGAUGUAUAUUCAACUCCGAAAGGGACAACAGGUUUGGAGAAUGCCUUUCAAUAUAAACCAGGUAUAGUGCGAUUGCCUUUAAAAUAAAAAUCACUGAAAUUCCAUCUCUAACUUCAAUUUGUAGUCACUCGUUUGGAACAAGAGUCUGCUUACUAUCUUCAAUUUGUACACAAAACUUAACAAGAACGAAACAUGGAUCCAGAAGAGCAAACGGACAUGCAAUCCAUCAAAUUAGCUUCCCUUGAAGAAAAACAACACAAAAAAGUCAGAUAUUAUGAAACAACGACGAUAAAGCUGGUCAUCGCUUAUAUUUUCUUCCAAGCUGUUAUAUUCUUGUCUGUUUUUCUCCAAAACCCAGCCAUCAUCUCCUGCCAGCAUUGGUGGAUUCCGUUCAGCCUCUCGUCUCUGAUUACUUUCAUCUUUUCCAUAAGCUUCACCAGAUUCGCCAGCAAGUUGGAACGUAUACAACACCAGCACGACAUCACUGUCAUGGAGCGAGAUUCGAAUCACCACCGAAAAAUGCUCCAACAAAGAGAUCCAACCAAUACUCAUGAUCUGCUUCAGCAACAGCAACAGAUUUUGAAGGGCGAUGUUGUGGACGUUUAUCAGAGAAAUGGCUUCAUUUACUUGGUAUUUGCUGCCCUUCUUGUCUACACGGUUAUCAUCUUAAUAGCCUGUCGAUUCGUUAUCUGUAAAGACUGAUUCCAUAAACCAGUCUUAAGAGCAUCUCUAAGGGAUUAUGCAAAGGAGCAGGAAAAUAAGGCUUGCCCAGCCACGUCAGUUUUCUCCUCCUCCUACGUGGCGCUGAUUUCUAGUUGUAAUUAAAUGGUAGAGCUUGCAAGGAAGACUUCACUGUGAAAGUUAACAAUUGAGAGCUUGUGAAUAAAAAAGACAACAGCAUCUAGAGAAAGUAGCAGACAGCAUAUGUUGCCCCAAAAUCUAACCUGAGCAACAAUCUCAGCAGACAGCAUAAUCAGUAUAGCAAUGCUCUACGCUCCAACAAAAGCUUAAUUCAAAUGCGAAAUUCAAGUCUUGUUUUUUGGACGAUUUAAUUUCCCGGUGACUGUCAUCUGAACGCUUCGUAUCUAAUUAACAUGAUCUCAACAUUGUUCGUUAAAGCAAAAAACACGAGCUUCUGAGAAUUUAGAUAAUGUUCUUUACUUCAUAUUAAAGUGGUGAGUGUGAAUUCCACAGUGACAAAUCAAAUGAUUUUGCAUUGCCAGUUGGUUUUAUGAUGGAAUCUCAUAUUGUAAUAUGAUAUCAGAGCAAGAUAUUCACACA
Long non-coding RNA from Prunus persica (peach), 1303 nucleotides. RefSeq lists it as uncharacterized. The record is from RefSeq and is a predicted model, not a curated record. NCBI's taxonomy places the organism in Eukaryota, Viridiplantae, Streptophyta, Magnoliopsida, Rosales, Rosaceae. The transcript has 2 exons.